UUAUCAAUGAAGACAUUGGAUUGUUCGUUAACAUCAUGAUUCCCAGAGGGUCGAGGUUAGGUGUCCUCUUUUGGAGACUUGGUCCUUGAAACUGGGCCUCUACAUAAAGCCAAAUGCAUUUGCUGAACAAGAAAGGUAUUUUGGCUCAGUGUGUCUGUGAUUGAAACCUUUGCCAGCAAAAUGUUUUUUAAACCUUCAUGUUAGCUGUGCUGAGAUGAAAAAUAUUGUUUUGUUCUCCUCAUGAGAGAAUAAAAGCUGGUGUGGUUAAUAUCUGAUGCCAAGCAUUCUCCAUGGAUGAAGGGCUCAUUCAUGCCUCACCGUCUUAACCUUUCAAGUGGAAAAGGAAAAAAAAAAAAAAAAGAAGAAGAAAAGAAAAGAAAGAAAGGAACAUUGCGGAACUUCAAGAGCCAGUGCCUCCCUCACACAUGUGUGAUUUAUUGCUCCAGGCUGCACUCAGGGAAGAAAGAGGAGACACAACACAGCAUCACCACUUCUGCUGGCGUCAUAGCAUUUCCCAUGUGGGGCCAGGUCUCCAACCUGGGCUGUAUUCAUGGCAAGACAAGUACUCUACCAGCCCUGCCCCAAGAUGAUUGACAAGAAGAAUACUGUGUUCUGUCACUGGUAUGUUUCCAAAUUGCCAUGUGUCCAGAGCCUGUUUGUCCGGGUGAGUGCUGUCUACUUUAAGAUGGGGCGGUCUUCAAGCAGAGGGAGCAGG
This is a long non-coding RNA of Erinaceus europaeus (western European hedgehog), 715 nucleotides long. RefSeq lists it as uncharacterized. NCBI's taxonomy places the organism in Eukaryota, Metazoa, Chordata, Mammalia, Eulipotyphla, Erinaceidae. The transcript has 3 exons. The record is from RefSeq and is a predicted model, not a curated record.